This 406-nucleotide ribosomal RNA is filed under the name uncultured bacterium. RNAcentral's name for it is "partial 16S ribosomal RNA". It matches the Rfam family "Bacterial small subunit ribosomal RNA", at positions 30 to 526 of the family's 1533-position model. The record is from RNAcentral.
AUUGAACGCUGGCGGCAGGCCUAACACAUGCAAGUCGAACGAGUGGCGGACGGGUGAGUAAUGUCUGGGAAACUGCCUGAUGGAGGGGGAUAACUACUGGAAACGGUAGCUAAUACCGCAUACCAUCAGAUGUGCCCAGAUGGGAUUAGCUAGUAGGUGGGGUAACGGCUACCCUAGUCGCCGAUCCCUAGCUGGUCUGAGAGGAUGACCAGCCACAAUGGGACUGAGACAGGGUCCAGAUUCCUCCGGGAGGCAGCAGUGGGGAAUCUUGGACAAUGGGCGCAAGCCUGAAGCAGCCAUGCGGCGUGUAGGAAGAAGGCCUUCGGGUUGUAAAGUACUUGCAGCGGGGAGGCGGUACCCGCAGAAGAAGCACCGGCUAACUCCGUGCCAGCAGCCGCGGUAAUAC